This 263-nucleotide unclassified non-coding RNA is filed under the name Hevea brasiliensis (rubber tree). Lineage: Eukaryota; Viridiplantae; Streptophyta; Magnoliopsida; Malpighiales; Euphorbiaceae. The record is from RNAcentral.
AUUUGCACUUGAUAUUUAUUAUCUUGUGAAUUUGAUUGAUAAAACUAUUCUUGUAUGUGUUUCCUUCAUUUAAAAUAAACAUACUCUUCCUAAUAUUUAAAUAUUCAAACUAUCCAUAUGCACAAAAACAACUAAAACCUGUUGCCGGUUCGGUUUUGGCCAUUUUUGGCUCAAUGGUUUAGGCUCUGUUUAGAUAGGGUGAGAGAAGUGUAAUUAAUGGGAGGAUAAGAGAGGGUAAGGAAGGGACAGGGUAAGGAGGGUUA